UUGGUGACAAGAAAACCGAAGAGCCAACGCACUGGUGCUUGUCACCAAAAUCAGCUUUGGGAAGGUCUGAGGUAAAAUCUUCUUUCCUCGAAAGGGGGAGGGCUUUAAUCGCCCGUGAAUGAACAGAAAGUGCUCUUUUUACCGGGUUUGCCCAAGAAGUGUGUCGUAUAGACACACUGAGGUUGUACGGUAGAAGGAGUUGAGAAUGUUCACGAUUGGCAGUCUUUAGUGAGAUGGUUUUGCGAACUCAAUUCAGACUACUCUGUGACCAA
Molecule: RNase P RNA, 272 nt
Filed under: Soboliphyme baturini
Lineage: Eukaryota; Metazoa; Nematoda; Enoplea; Dioctophymatida; Soboliphymatidae
Description: Nuclear RNase P
Rfam family: Nuclear RNase P
About the family: Ribonuclease P (RNase P) is a ubiquitous endoribonuclease, found in archaea, bacteria and eukarya as well as chloroplasts and mitochondria.
Source: Rfam by way of RNAcentral